UCUCCCUCCAUCUCACUCUCUCAUUCAUUCUCCCACCCUCAGCACUUUCUAGGCCCCUCUUUUCCACAAAAAUUUGCUGUGAUCUGACUAAGCAGUGCCAUGAUUCUUCUCUCUAGUCAUAGCCCUUUUCAAUCCAGGGAAAAUUUGGAGGGAAAAAAGGGCUAACCUGAAAAGCAAUAUCUCUAGACCAUUUCUUCUCUUCUGGAAGCAAAGAAACUACAGAGCAAACAGGCAGUUUUGUGACAUAAGCUGUCUCAGAAGUCAUCCACCAGACAUUUAAAUAGCCCCUUGAGAGGCCCAUUGGGAUGAAAUUGAGGCUUCCUCUGAUCCAGUUGAUUCUGAUGACUCUAGCCUUGGUUGGCAUCUUGACUGCAGCCAGCUUCAUGACAGACUGUGGGCCAGAAUCCCCAGCUCAGUCACUCCUGAAUUUGUGACACACAAAAACUGGGUUCCUCUUGGGUGCUUUUAAUACAGUUACUCAACUUCAUAACUCCACAUUUGGACAUUGGAAAACAGUUCUUUCUUGUGCAUGUGGUAGAGGGUCUACUGAGAUACAGGAAUUUCUUCCUUGCUCUCAUGCUGGGAUUUUCAUAAUGGUCCUCCCAUUUUUCAAACUCUUCCAAGAUGUGUUGACCAAGUUAGGGUAAGAUAGAUUCUCUAGCAUCUGAUGUUAUGUACUAUCUUUAGUAAAAU
Non-coding RNA from Ictidomys tridecemlineatus (thirteen-lined ground squirrel), 693 nucleotides. NCBI's taxonomy places the organism in Eukaryota, Metazoa, Chordata, Mammalia, Rodentia, Sciuridae. The record is from RefSeq and is a predicted model, not a curated record.